AACGAACGCUGGCGGCAUGCCUAACACAUGCAAGUCGAACGAGACCUUCGGGUCUAGUGGCGCACGGGUGCGUAACGCGUGGGAACCUGCCCUUAGGUUCGGAAUAACUCCCCGAAAGGGGUGCUAAUACCGGAUAAUGUCUUCGGACCAAAGAUUUAUCGCCUUUGGAUGGGCCCGCGUUGGAUUAGCUAGUUGGUAGGGUAAAAGCCUACCAAGGCGACGAUCCAUAGCUGGUCUGAGAGGAUGAUCAGCCACACUGGGACUGAGACACGGCCCAGACUCCUACGGGAGGCAGCAGUGGGGAAUAUUGGACAAUGGGCGAAGGCCUGAUCCAGCAAUGCCGCGUGAGUGAUGAAGGCCUUAGGGUUGUAAUGCUCUUUUACCCGGGAUGAUAAUGACAGUACCGGGAGAAUAAGCUCCGGCUAACUCCGUG
RNAcentral lists this ribosomal RNA (433 nucleotides) under uncultured bacterium. RNAcentral's name for it is "partial 16S ribosomal RNA". It matches the Rfam family "Bacterial small subunit ribosomal RNA", at positions 29 to 507 of the family's 1533-position model. The record is from RNAcentral.